GGGUUAGUCCAUAUUCUCCUUGUAACGGCUUAACGUUCGAAAAAUUUCUGAAGUCAUCAGUCUGAGCCCGACCAAAUGGUCGGGGGUAGUAUGAUGUAGUCCUCGAUUGUUGGCCAAAAAAUUUAUUCGGGGAUUAGGUCUGUUGGGGUUGUUCACUUCCUCUUGGCUCCAGAGAAUCUGAGUCAGAGCUACAGCAAUGAGGGUUCUCUCACAGAAGGAGCAAAAUAUAUAAAUAAUGUAUACAAUUGAGAUUCACAUAGUAUGGAAUGAGCAGGAUAUUCAGAUGGUGCUUGCUACUGAUG
This 302-nucleotide long non-coding RNA is filed under the name Elaeis guineensis (African oil palm). Its description in RNAcentral is "long non-coding RNA (EGUI_LNC007216)". The record is from RNAcentral. Lineage: Eukaryota; Viridiplantae; Streptophyta; Magnoliopsida; Arecales; Arecaceae.